AACGAACGCUGGCGGCAUGCCUAACACAUGCAAGUCGAACGAGACCUUCGGGCCUAGUGGCGCACGGGUGCGUAACGCGUGGGAACCUGCCCUUAGGUUCGGAAUAACUCCCCGAAAGGGGUGCUAAUACCGGAUAAUGUCUUCGGACCAAAGAUUUAUCGCCUUUGGAUGGGCCCGCGUUGGAUUAGCUAGUUGGUAGGGUAAAAGCCUACCAAGGCGACGAUCCAUAGCUGGUCUGAGAGGAUGAUCAGCCACACUGGGACUGAGACACGGCCCAGACUCCUACGGGAGGCAGCAGUGGGGAAUAUUGGACAAUGGGCGAGAGCCUGAUCCAGCAAUGCCGCGUGAGUGAUGAAGGCCUUAGGGUUGUAAAGCUCUUUUAACCGGGAUGAUAAUGACAGUACCGGGAGAAUAAGCUCCGGCUAACUCCGUG
This 433-nucleotide ribosomal RNA is filed under the name uncultured bacterium. RNAcentral's name for it is "partial 16S ribosomal RNA". It matches the Rfam family "Bacterial small subunit ribosomal RNA", at positions 29 to 507 of the family's 1533-position model. The record is from RNAcentral.